AAUGAAAUUUGAAUUAAUGAAAGCUGGGAUUAUAUAACUGUGUGUGGACUGUCAAUGUGUUUGUAGUCUCUUGUGAAACUGGUUGUCUUGGAACUCAUGUUUUCCAAUAACCAAAAUGCUUUGAUGAAUUUGAAGGUUCAAUAGAAAUGACAGAAAAUGGGUGUUCUAUCAAACAAGAUUACGAAAUGCCUCUCUUUAUUUUCCCCUGAGUCUGCC
Molecule: unclassified non-coding RNA, 216 nt
Filed under: Hevea brasiliensis (rubber tree)
Lineage: Eukaryota; Viridiplantae; Streptophyta; Magnoliopsida; Malpighiales; Euphorbiaceae
Source: RNAcentral